AUGAGAUUCACUUUUGUGCUUGCGGGGUGGCCUGGAUCGGUCCAUGAUAUGAGGCCAUUCAAGGAUGCUCUUAGCCGGUUUGAUCACAAGUUUCCACAUCCACCUUCAGGGAAAUUUUAUCUUGUUGACUCGGGCUACCCCAACAAACAGGGUUAUCUUGCACCGUAUAGGGGCCAAAAGUAUCAUUUUCAAGAGUUCCAUCAAGGCACCAUGCCGAGAGGUAAAAAGGAGUACUUCAAUUAUACUCAUUCUAGACUACGCAAUGUCAUUGAGCGUUGUUUUGGAGUCUUGAAAAAUAAGUGGAGGAUUCUUUUCAAAGUACCAAGUUAUCCUCUACGCAAGCAAACAAAAAUUAUUGUGGCAUGCAUGCCUUGCACAAUUUUAUUCGUGAAAAUCAUUUGGCGGACAAGGAAUUUGAUAGGUGUGACAAUGAUGAGAGUUAUCAACCUCUCCUUGAGGAAACAAGGAGGAGGCGUCGUAACACUAGGGGUGAAGAAAUGGAGCUAG
RNAcentral lists this ribosomal RNA (507 nucleotides) under Triticum aestivum (bread wheat). RNAcentral describes it as "partial small subunit ribosomal RNA". The record is from RNAcentral. Lineage: Eukaryota; Viridiplantae; Streptophyta; Magnoliopsida; Poales; Poaceae.